GUGCUUGCUUUGCAAGCACACUGACUAAAAUUGGAACAAUAUGAGAAGAUUAGCAUGGCCCCAACACAAGAAUAACAUUCAAAUUUGUGAAGUGUUCUCUAUUUUU
Ictidomys tridecemlineatus (thirteen-lined ground squirrel) is the source of this 106-nucleotide small nuclear RNA. The record is from Ensembl. Lineage: Eukaryota; Metazoa; Chordata; Mammalia; Rodentia; Sciuridae.